Molecule: ribosomal RNA, 1365 nt
Filed under: Triticum aestivum (bread wheat)
Lineage: Eukaryota; Viridiplantae; Streptophyta; Magnoliopsida; Poales; Poaceae
Description: partial small subunit ribosomal RNA
Source: RNAcentral
AUGGUUCAUGGAACUACAAACUAUUAUAGACAAUUACACAUGUUUGCCCAGAUGAGGGUUCAUUUUACUCAUCGCCUCCAAAUCAAUGCUGAGUCGUGUCCAUUGUUGAUUCAGAUAACAUCUACUCUAGUGGUACAGAUGAAACUGGGUGGAUCAUCGUCCCUCGCCGCGUGCGUUGAGCUGGGAGAAGACCUGGCUGUCGGCGAGCUCGGUCAUGCUCAGGCCCGCCUCGUCCGCGUCGUCCAUCAUCAGCAGGCUCGUGGACGACGGCACCCACCGCGGCACGACCACGUCGGCGGGGAGCUGCGUGGCGACGGCGCCGCUGUCCUCGAAGGCGUCCCUGUUGACGUGCGUCUCCUGCAGCUGGAGGCAGUACUCGAGGUUCCAGAGCACGUCGCCCAUGGACGGCCGGUCCGCGCCGUAGUCAGCCAGGCACCUCUCCGCCGUCUCGGCGAACUUGCGCAGCGAGUUGUCGUUGACCUCGCCGGCGAUCCUGGCGUCGGCGAUCUUGUCGAGCUUCCCCUCCCCGUGCAUCCUGACGGCCCACUCGGCGAUGUUGAUCUGGUCGCGGUCGAGGCUCUGGUCGAUGACGGGGCGCGCGCAGAGCACCUCGAAGAGCACCACGCCGAAGGAGUAGACGUCGGAGCGGUCCGUGAGCUGCUGCGUCUUGAAGUACUCCGGGUCCAGGUACCCGAAGCUGCCCUUCACCGCCGUGCUGACGUGCGUCUCCCCCAGCGAUGGCCCGAUGCGCGACAGCCCGAAGUCGGCCACCUUGGCGAUGAUGGCGCCGCCGCCGGUGCUGCCGCCGUCGUCGGUGCCGAGGAGGAUGUUGGUGGACUUGACGUCGCGGUGGAUGAUGUUCUCCGAGUAGCCGCAGUGCAGGUAGUGCAGGCCCCUGGCGGCGCCGAUGCAGAUCUCGAGCCGCUGCUUCCACGAGAGCGGCGGCUCGUCGUCGGAGCCGCCGUACAGGUGGCUCCGCAGCGUGCCCUUCUCCAUGUACUCGUACACCAGGAUCAUCUCUGCCUGCUCGUUGCAGUAGCCGAUGAGCGACACGAGGUGGCGGUGCCGGAUGCCGGACAGCACCACGAUCUCCGUGUGGAACUCCGGCAGGCCCUGCUUGGAGGCGCGCAUGGCGCGCUUCACCGCCACGGGCGUGCCGUCGGCGAGCGCGCCCUUGUACACGUUGCCGAACCCGCCGACGCCGAUGAGGUUGCGGUCGUGGAAGUUGUCCGUGGCGGCCUUGAGCUCCGCCAGCGAGAUGUGCAGCUUGGUGCUCACCCUCUGCAUCCUGGCGGUGGUGCCCUCGCUGGACCGGUUCGUCGACUCGUCGGCCCAGCCGGAGAUGCCUUCCUGCGUGUACGGUGA